AUGGCAUCGAGCACUGGGGAGGAAGCUCCUGCCUCACCCGUUGUGGGAAAUGCUCCUCCACUGGUGACCACGGAAGCCAAGAUGAUUGUGGCCAUCGGCCAUGACCAUUGCCAGAAGUUGAAGGAUGUGUUGAGCAAGGAGGAUUCUUCCACCAUGGUAGUGGUGAUGGCCUCAAGCAACCAGACUCCCACGCCGCCCAAGCCUCGCUUGCCGGUCAUGGAUUCCAGGCUGCUAGCAGUAGCUUGCUCUGGUUCAUGGAAGAAGCUGCAAUCAUUUCUCAGUGGGGAAGACCGUCAAACCUCCGGCGACGGGGCUAUCCGAAGCUCUGCUAUGCAGCCAGCUUUUGGUGACGAAGAAGCACUUCUCAGGGAGUCUUUCCUGGAUGCGGUCACCAUGGACGGUGACACUUUUCUCCAUGUGAUGGCCACCAACAGUGAUGGUGAGAACUUGGAGGAAGAUGGCCCCAUACGCAGGAAGGCAGUAAGCCUCGUCUUCAUGCAAAACAGCCAUGGAGAUACGCCCCUGCACUAUGCUGCACGGGCGGCGAAAAUGAAUAUGGUAUCUUUUCUCAUUGAUCUUGCUGGAGGCAAGGAUCAAAAUGCUGACAGAGUGAAGGCGCUGCUAGAAAUGGAAAACAAGAGUAAAUGGACAGUCUUGCAUUAGGCGGUCCGCAGUGGGAAAAAUGAUAUAGUCGAAUUGCUCAUGAAGGAGGAUCCAGAAUUGGCAAGUCUUCCGAAAGCUGGUACUUCUCCGCUGUACCUAGCCAUCUUACUGGAAAACAGAAUCAUCGCCAAAACACUCUACAAGUUGAGCCGCGGGAACCUUUCAUACUCUGGACCAAGUGGACAAAAUGCAUUGCAUGCUGCUGUUCUCCGAGGCAAAGGUCUUACAGAGAUGGUGUUAGGAUGGAAUAACGACCUUACAACGCAACAAGAUGAUAAGGGAAGUACACCUCUUCACUUAGUUGCAUCUAUGCCACGUCAAAAAGACCGACGAUACAUACGUUUACUUCUACUGGAAGCCAAUCCAGAUGCAUUGUAUCAACUGGACAAUGAUGGAUCAUUCCCCAUACACGUGGCUGCAUCCGUUGGCUCAAGAAUUACCAUCAAUGUCUUUCUUCAGAAGUCGCCCAGUUGCGCUGGUCUACGUGAUGCUAGGGGAAGGACAUUUCUUCAUGUUGCAGUUGACAAAAUGAAAAUAUGGCCGGUCUGGUCUGCUUGCAGAAACCAGUCGUUAUCAUGGAUUUUAAAUAUGCAAGACAAUGGUGGAAACACUGCACUGCAUUUAGCCGUCCAAAAAGGAACACUGAUGAUAUUCUGUGCUAUAUUUGGGAAUAAACAAGUGCACUUAAAUUUAACAAAUGAGAAAGGAGAGACCCCGCUUGAUAUAGCACAUUGCAAUAUUCCCAAAGAAUUGCAUUAUAACCAGGUAAUAUGCAUGCAGUCAUUUUAUUUUUCAGCACGGACUUGA
Molecule: ribosomal RNA, 1470 nt
Filed under: Triticum aestivum (bread wheat)
Lineage: Eukaryota; Viridiplantae; Streptophyta; Magnoliopsida; Poales; Poaceae
Description: partial small subunit ribosomal RNA
Source: RNAcentral